ACCGGCGAUGCCCCGCGCGUCUUUCAAUUUGCAUUUGCGUGCACCCUGGGUCGGGGGUGUUAAGGAGAUACAGACAGCAUCAGACUGUUGGUGAACGAAGCGAGAUAUCAGCAGCAGAUAACAGGAUGAAUGUUACUGUUUUUGAGAAUGCCUCCUUGCUGCUCCCCGGAGAAACCUUCCUCAGCAGCCACAUACGCCUGUUGCCCAAUGUUCUCAGCCUGAUCCUGCGAUUCCCCGUCAAUGUCUACGUCCUGCAGAUUAUAAUGUCGCGAAACAUGUUCACCUCGGAGUUCUACUCUUUCAAACAGGCCCUUUUUGAAGUUAUGUGCUUCUACGACUUUUUGGGAGUGGUCUUCUUUGUGUCCCCGAACUGGUAUUUGUGGAAAAUCCAGCACUUUUUCCUGGGAUUCAUAAUGACGGCUCGCCCGUGUCUCCUGGCGUUGAUUUGCGUGGAGCGCUACCUGGCAGUGGUUAAACCUGUGGCCUUCCUGAGGAUGAAGUCACUGAAGUACAAACUGGCCAUGUCAGCGAUUAUCUGGUUGUGGACUGUGACUACUGGCGUGUGCAUCUUGGUGUUGACGGAUUUUAAAAACGGUCUUGUGUGGCAGAUCGCUGUGUGUUGCAUAGUGAACCUUUACUGUUGCAUCGCUACCCUUCACGCACUGAGACGGCCCGGUCCAGGAGAAGGGCCCAGGCAGAGAGAGGGGAUGAGCAACGUAAAACUGAAGGCUUUUAGGAUAAUAUUGAUUCUCACGGUUUCAGUCUUUCUCACGUAUGUCCCCUUGGUGCUUGUUGUUCUUUUUAAGAAGUACUUUAAAGAGGAAGUAUUUGCGGACAUCCUUGAUAUCUUCUUCAUCUGCACUGCUCUUUCGGGGUUCAUCCAGGCCUCGCUGUUCCUCCAAAGGCUCGGUAAACUGACCUUCAUCAAAUGGCCGUGAGAUCUGAUAAUCAAACUCCAUGAUCUCUGAAGCAGCCUCAAUCGCUGUUCCAAGAUAGAUGACUGCAAAGCGCUAUUCCCCGAGACUACCACCUCAUUCAGCCUUUUUGAUGAUGAUACUUGAUCAUUGAACUUGAAUGAGACGGAAAGAUUGACUCUACGUCUGCCUGUUUAUGCAAAGCCACGCAGGAUGUAGCUUAACCCCAACUUUACCUUUAGUCUUUGUAUUUUGCCAAAAGGGUCAACAUUAACACGGCAGUCCAAACAGGUUGAAAGCUCAUUUGUACAGCAGGUGGGGCGUCUGUUGAGGAAAACACUGGUACCAAAGUCCCGCGCUACAAAAGACAACUAAAUGAGAAGAUGGACGGAAAUAUCAUUCUGCCAGAUGUUCCAUCUCUCCAUCUCCUUUGUACAAAUGCCUGGCUUCCGUGCAUAAUCAGUGUGGCUCCUGGUCUCCCUGCCAACGUAUGUGUCAUGUGGCUCAUUUUGGCAAAGCCAGCGGAUGAAGCUGCAGACGUCUUUUCUCUUAACCAGGCCGUAUGUGAAGUUUGUCAAAUGCUGUGUUUUUGAUCGCGAUAACAGUGUCCGAUGACUUUUCCCUCCACUAUCACAGCCUCAGAAUUCAUUGGGGAUUGAUGUUUUCACGACGCCCAAUGUUUUUGAGCUUCAUCUGCUUGGAGCUCUAUCUGUCAGUUGUUCAUCCUGUGACCUUCCUGAGGUACAAGCCCUUGAGAUACAAAGUAGCUGCAAUGACCUUUUCUUGGUUGACGUUGUCGGUGUUUUGUAUAAUAUUUUUGUGGGUACCGUAUCCAGAAAUGUUUUCCGUGCUCUUUGGCGCGGCCAUCCCCUGGUUUCCGUGCAGCUCGUUUUUCAUGGUUGAGACACUGCGCACAGUUGUAAGGCCGGGACCAGGAGAAGAUAACCAGGGACGCAACGGGAUGAGCAGUGCAAAGCGUUACGCUUUCAAAAUCAUCAUCGUGGCUACAUCUCUCUACAAUAUGUCUUAUGUCUUUUCGAUCGUUUUGUUUGGUCAUACAUCAAUAGAGGACAGCUAUAAAAUGUUCUGCAUCUCUUACUACGUGUCUUUGGUGGCUUUCUGCCUCCCAAGCCUCUUCUACUUCCACAGAGUUAGAAGACUGCAAAAUUCUACCAAAGAUGCAGUGUAGAGAUCAGCAGCACACCGUCAAAUGUAACAUGAAAGGCAAUUUUUAGAUCUCCAAUGUUGAACUUCAGUUAAGCUAAAUAAACUACAUUUAUGUUUGAUUUCUUUAGUUGUCCUGGUUAGAGAGCCACAUUACACCGUCUGAAAAUCACUAUUCAACGAUUCGAGAUUCUGUAAAAACAGCGACUGUUGGCAUGGUUACUGUUCCUGUUCGCAUGCAAGCUGCUCCAUCAUGCCUCUUAUUUUUGUUUUCUAUAUUAAUAUGAAAAAAGUCACCUAUUCAAUUCUGACGGUGAAUUAUUCACUACUAAAUCCUGAUUAUUACUUUUUGUGAUGUAGUUUUAAUUAUUUGACAUCUUCAAUAACAUUCUUUGUUGACGGUACAGCUGCACUGCAGCUCCUGUUCUGGAUUCCCGAGCAUGCAUAUUAGAGAAAAAGGGUUGUGUAUUUGUAUUCUUAUGUUUGCUCACUGCUUUGUCUCAGUCAAGUGGAGGCAUCUGAGUUUUAGAACUUUGUGAAUCAUCUUUCUGUUUUGUGACAGUUUGAGGUGAUGCAGAAAAAGCAGAUUGACUUAAACAACAAACUAUUUCAACGUUUGCUUUGACACACUGGAGUCGUACUGUGCUUUUAGUUUAUAGUUGAACUCUUUUACAAUAAUUACAUUGAUUUGUUUGAUUGAGGGUGUGAUGGUUAUAUUUGUGACUUAUUUUCUUGUGUGAUAUUUAAAAAAAGUUAUACUGAUUUGUGGUGUGAAGAAUAUAAACUAGGCCUUGAAGUCGGAUAUCUGACUCGUGUGCUUUUAUUUCUCUCUAACUCAGCUGAGUGUCGUUUCUGUGAUGACUUAGACUGAGAGCGACUGUUCACCAGAGACCCCCCCACCGCCCACCGGCCGCCCCAACGGCCACCUGCUGGUCAUGAACAGAGUCUUUGUGAUAUGUGACGCAACCGCCUCAUCUGCCUUCCCCUCACGGCUCAGCAACCGCCGCGUCCGAAAGGCAGCGACAUAGUCCGUUUAAUUGGAGCUGAUCAUAAACUUGAUUUUAAAGUGUUCCCAGAGUCGUAAAAUCAACCUCGA
Molecule: long non-coding RNA, 3174 nt
Organism: Gasterosteus aculeatus aculeatus (three-spined stickleback)
Lineage: Eukaryota; Metazoa; Chordata; Actinopteri; Perciformes; Gasterosteidae
Source: Ensembl